AGGAAAAAGAUAUCUUGUGGAAAAAAAGCCCCACAGGAUCAGUUAAAUUGGGAAAGGCCUCAGAGGUCAUCGAAUCCAAGGCCGAUUAGCCAACAGCACCCUGUCAGCCAGAGCGUGGCACUGAGGGCCGCGCCCAGCCUUCCCUUAAACACCUGCAGGGGUGGUGACUCCGCCACCUCCCCGAAAAGCCCAGUCAAUAUCGAAUCACGCUUUCUGUGAAGGAAUUCCUCCUAAUGUCCAACACGGUCCAGCACAUUAUUGUAUUCUACUCUGAUAAGACCCUGUUAAUUCCCAAAUGAUCUUGUUCUCAUCAGAGGCACGGUGAGCACCUCACAGGCGUCGGGUCCAGGACCAGACAGGAAAGUGUUGGACGUCAUUUCACAGAGGAAUCAGUGAACAUAGAAACUGUACCAUGCUUUCUCAGCUGCAUAACUCAUGGAAAUCAGUGAGAUGCUGCCCUUGCGUUUUAAUCAAGAUGAACUUGAGAGGUGAACAUUCAUAUCAACAAUGGAGGAUAUAAUUUGGAAGAUGAAAUGUGAAAAUACAAGUACUGUGCUCACAUGCUGAAGUUUCCUUAGCUGGAGGGAAUUCUGGUGGAAACGGGGAAUAAUGCUGGAUUACUGUUUUCACACAAAAUGGAUAAGAAGAUUUUUCUCUUUUUUUGGAAUCCUGAUUUUAAAUGAAUAUGGUUUUCGGGAGGCUCUGAACCAUCAUGUGCUCCUAACCAGGGUGCUGGGGCAUAGAAACAGUGGCAGUCAGAGACAGCAAGCUACCAAGAGAAUCCAGUGCUGACAUCUUGACUUGGCAGUGCCUAUGGUUUCAUUUGUUCUUGGCCUGCACAGUCAGACAACAUCCUUGCCAGACCAGGACCGUCAGAUGUACCCAGAUAAUCUGCACUAAUCAGUGUGCAGCUGCGUCUGGAAAGAAGCAGAACAGACCCCUAAAGCUCAGCCUACUCUUCAUACCUGGGCAUUUGUUGUUGCUGGAAGAAUGGUACCUGGUGGCCUGGACCUUUGACUUGAUCACUCUGGUUAGUCUGAGGUUUUGAAGGCCAAUACAAUAGUGGGGUCCAAGAACUGGCUCUGAGAGUGCAAUGCUUUAAUACAGAGGUCCAAUUAAAAUACCCUGGAAGCCUG
Cyanistes caeruleus (blue tit) is the source of this 1136-nucleotide non-coding RNA. NCBI's taxonomy places the organism in Eukaryota, Metazoa, Chordata, Aves, Passeriformes, Paridae. The record is from RefSeq and is a predicted model, not a curated record.